This 476-nucleotide ribosomal RNA is filed under the name Metamycoplasma hominis. RNAcentral describes it as "bacterial LSU rRNA". It matches the Rfam family "Bacterial large subunit ribosomal RNA", at positions 1156 to 1643 of the family's 2925-position model. Lineage: Bacteria; Bacillati; Mycoplasmatota; Mycoplasmoidales; Metamycoplasmataceae. The record is from RNAcentral.
ACUUUGUGCCGAUAAUUCAACGGGACUAAAACACAAUACCGAAGCUACGGGCAGAAAUGCGUUAGGAGAGCGUUGUAAGGGCUUAGAAGCCAGACCGUGAGGACUGGUGGAGCGCUUACAAGUGAGAAUGCCGGUAUGAGUAACGAUUCAGAGUGAGAAUCUCUGACGCCUAUUGGGGAAGGUUUCCUGGGCAAGGUUCGUCCACCCAGGGUUAGUCGGGUCCUAAGACGAGGCCGAAAGGCGUAGCCGAUGGACAACAGGUUAAUAUUCCUGUACUUUCUUAACAUGUGAUGGAGUGACGGGGAAGGAUAAUUUUACCACUAAUUGGAUUGUGGGGUAAGUAACAACUGGGUUAUGUAGGCAAAUCCGCAUAACUUAACUGGGAGUUACGACGCAUAGCAAAAGGGCAACUGAGUAGCGAAUUAGAUGAUUUCAUGCCUCUUAAAAAAGCUUCUAACAUUAAGUUUAGGAAACCC